Long non-coding RNA from Hipposideros armiger (great roundleaf bat), 2593 nucleotides. RefSeq lists it as uncharacterized. NCBI's taxonomy places the organism in Eukaryota, Metazoa, Chordata, Mammalia, Chiroptera, Hipposideridae. The transcript is spliced from 6 exons. The record is from RefSeq and is a predicted model, not a curated record.
CCUCAGCAUGGCUCCGAGGGCACACAGAAGCCCAGCCGGGACCGAGGCAACCGCCGGCUCACCCACCUGCCGCUCCUCCUAUUAACCCAGAUGGAUGUUCUUCAUACAGUGGUAUGACUCCAACCUCCGCUCCUGGCGACCCAAGCUCUUGGCAGUCCUCUCUAUCUUCAUUCUGGCCACUGGACAUGGCAGUACCAGGAGUUACCCCAAGGAUCUCCUCUUCCCAGCCUCGGUUAGGCAGCAUCCAUAUUUCCUCUUGAUGUUCAGGACCAAUGAUCUCUCACAACACAGCAGCAAGCACAAAGCCUGUUCCACCAGUGGCAUCAGGAGUCUGACCUUGGGCUUGGCCCUGCAGGGCAUGCCGAGAUCUGCUGUGGUGAAAGGCCUGGAGAUGGGAUGUUAGAAGAAGCCAUCACCUUCCCUUCCUUGGAGUAUGGAGUUCCCCAUGCUGUUCGUCUUUGUCUGGACUGCUCUGUCCCUCAGAUCUCCCCUUCAGUGGAUUCUUUAUUCCAUGUGGCCACAUAAAAACAGACUGGAGGCGAAUUGCUGUGAGAGCUGUCAGAGCCGUGAUGGAUGUGCCUGAAAGGGGUAGAACCUACUCUGCAGGGCCUGCUCGCUGCCAGAUUAUGACCUCCUUGGGCAGGCGCCUUGGGCAUCAGCUUUCUUGUAUCCACCUCAGAACUCUGCUUUGUGUCAUUCCGGUAGCCCUCGUAGAUAUCUGCUAAAUGAUGGAUCUCCAUUCACAGCCAUCCCUCUGGGCUUCAGAGCUGGGAGGGACUUGACCAGUGACUUUCACAUUGAAGUGGAGAGAGGGUCCAUGCCGUCAACCAGAGAGGGAACUAUGGCCCUUUAGAAGAGCGAAAGGACCCCAGCAAAGUAUUUACAAACUCCACUGAGUGGAACCACGAGAGGGAACCGACACCCAGUGUACCGGGGCGCCGGAUGCUUACAGAUGGCACUUGAAAGUCCCUUAAGGUAAAAGCGGUAGUGUGUCCUACACAGACAGCAAACUCCUUUCCAAAGCAAAGAGCCAACGCCUGCCCUGUGCAGCUGCCUCUGCUUUUAGUGGGAUUCAGUUCAUUCUGGCCUCACCCCCAGCUUCCUGGCUGUGGUCAGCACGAGUACAAUUUGGAUGACAGAAGGAGUCAACUUUAGAAACCAGAUGCUCUGGUAAUGCAGUGAGUGUGGGUGUGCCUGGAAUUAUGAGCUGGGCCCGGGAUGAAUUCCACGGCCAUGGUCAGUUCCCCGUGUCACACACACCCUUAGGCCACAGGGCCUUCAGGGAGGAGAGGUCUGUGUCCCAUGGGAUACUCAUCCCGCCUUCUAACUUAGGCAAAGGCACCAUUAACGAGCAUGUGGUAUACUGAGAAUGCCUUUCUUCACGUCAUGGGCGGGCUUGCAAUGAGUAUUUUAUCCUUGCAUUUUAUGCUUGCCCGGGAAAAGCACAGAAAGUGAAGGUGACCUUGGAGAUACUCACAUCCAGCCCUCUCAUUUUACAGAGGAGGGAACCGAGGCCCCGAAAUGUGAAGCAACCUGCCCAGUGCUAACUACCUCCUGGUCUGGGGUAGUUCCAUUGGAUGGUACAAAAGCAGGGUGACAGUACACUCUAACCCACUCGGGGGUAUCACUAUGGUAACUGCAACUCUUGAGACUAGUUAGGCUGUUUCUAUCUGUUUAUUUAACUGGCGCUGAUGACAUGUGAAUCCGGGUACUGCAAACCCUGUGUUUGCUGAGUCGGGGUCAGGGGCUUGAUGGAUGUGCUCUUGUCCAGGCAGAUGACGAGAGAGGACCCAGCCUUUUCCCGUUGUCUCCCUUCACCCUUGAGAGGUGAACGCACGAAUCCAUACCAAGCGCAGUACUUUGUCAAGCAAUGGUGUUCCCCUUCAGUGAGGUGUGACAGCCAUCUCUUGAGGCCCUACAGUGUCGAAGGACAUUGCGGCCUCUUGUCCCGAGUGAUGUAACUGAGCUGGUGGCAGAGUCCUUUCUAGUCCUCACAGAGCCCUCAGUCUGUCAAAGGUGAGGCAGAAACUCACACUGUGCCCAUGUUCUCGUAGCAUUUUCAGUGUGAAACGCAGUUAUUUCUGUAGUGACGCCUGGCUCUCAUUCAGCAGAUGCUCGACACCAUUUCUUUAGAUUAGAGUUGGAAAGAAUUUUUAAAAGCCUGUAUCUGAAGGGAUGUAAGAAGGGAGAGUCAAGUGGCUCAAAGUGGACGCAACCAGGAUGUGACAUGUCCAAUGCCAGGUUCACGGACCUGAGGGCAACCCGGCAGCCUUGCUGGUGACUCUUGUGAAAGGCUGUUCCUGCAACUCGGUUUCGAUGGACGCAGAGGUACUCUUUCUAACAAACACCUCGUACUGUGGCUACUUGUGUGUGGUCUUCUUUCGCCUCCCAAGUGUAAGCUCCUUGAGGGCAGAGCUGUGUCUUCUUGACCUCCCCUUUCCCCUCACAGACAGUAGACACUCACUAAUGUUCAACAAAUAGUGAGUGAAAACACCUUUCUGGCCGUGACCUCCACAGGGAAGGAAGGGAGAGGGAGGUCUAAGAGCCAGGGCCCAGCAGCCCUGGAGUUUACGUCCGGUCCUCCUGGGCCGCU